AGGACGAACGCUGGCGGCGCGCUUAACACAUGCAAGUCGAGCGAGAACCGAAGCCUUAGGGCAUCGGGGAAAGCGGCGAACGGGUGAGUAACACGUGGGCAACCCACCCUUGGUACCGGGAUAGCCCGGGGGAAACCCGGAUUAAUACCGGAUGGCCCAGCAGCCUUUCGGGGCGGCUGGAAAAGGGAGCUUCGGCCUCCGACCAAGGACGGGCCCGCGGCGGAUUAGCUUGUUGGUGGGGUAACGGCCUACCAAGGCGACGAUCCGUAGCUGGUCUGAGAGGACGAUCAGCCACACUGGGACUGAGACACGGCCCAGACUCCUACGGGAGGCAGCAGUGGGGAAUCUUGCGCAAUGGGCGAAAGCCUGACGCAGCAACGCCGCGUGGAGGACGAAGGCUUUCUGAGUUGUAAACUCCUUUCAGCAGGGACGAUUGUGACGGUACCUGCAGAAGAGCACCGGCAACUACGUGCCAGCAGCCGC
This 483-nucleotide ribosomal RNA is filed under the name uncultured bacterium. RNAcentral's name for it is "SSU rRNA". It matches the Rfam family "Bacterial small subunit ribosomal RNA", at positions 26 to 518 of the family's 1533-position model. The record is from RNAcentral.